CGCCCUUGGGUCUGCGUCUCAUUAGCUAGUUGGUAGGGUAAUGGCCUACCAAGGCAACGAUGAGUAACUGGUCUGAGAGGAUGAUCAGUCACACUGGAACUGAAACACGGUCCAGACUCCUACGGGAGGCAGCAGUGGGGAAUAUUGCGCAAUGGGCGAAAGCCUGACGCAGCAACGCCGUGUGAGGGAUGAAGGCUUUCGGGUCGUAAACCUCUGUCAGAAGGGAAGAACGGGUAAUGGUCUAAUAGGCCGUUAUUUUGACGGUACCUUCAGAGGAAGCACCGGCUAACUCCGUGCCACCAGCCGCGGUAAUACGGAGGGUGCAAGCGUUAUUCGGAAUUACUGGGCGUAAAGCGCACGUAGGCCGCUUUGUAAGUCAGGGGUGAAAUCCCACGGCUCAACCGUGGAACUGCCUUUGAAACUGCAGAGCUUGAAUCCUGGAGAGGGUGGCGGAAUUCCUGGUGUAGGAGUGAAAUCCGUAGAUAUCAGGAGGAACACCGGUGGCGAAGGCGGCCACCUGGACAGGCAUUGACGCUGAGGUGCGAAAGUGUGGGGAGCAAACAGGAUUAGAUACCCUGGUAGUCCACACCGUAAACGAUGAACACUAGAUGCCGGAC
Molecule: ribosomal RNA, 617 nt
Filed under: uncultured delta proteobacterium
Lineage: Bacteria; Deltaproteobacteria
Description: bacterial SSU rRNA
Rfam family: Bacterial small subunit ribosomal RNA
Source: RNAcentral